GCCGGGUGUGGUGGCGCGCACCUGUAAUCCCAGCUACUCAGGAGGCUGAGGCAUGAGAAUUGCUUGAACCUGGGAGGAGGAGGUUGCAGUAAGCUGAGAUCAUGCCACUGCACUCCAGCCUGGGUGACAGAGCGAGACUCUGCCUCAA
Molecule: non-coding RNA, 148 nt
Organism: Pongo abelii (Sumatran orangutan)
Lineage: Eukaryota; Metazoa; Chordata; Mammalia; Primates; Hominidae
Source: Rfam